This 259-nucleotide unclassified non-coding RNA is filed under the name Hevea brasiliensis (rubber tree). The record is from RNAcentral. Lineage: Eukaryota; Viridiplantae; Streptophyta; Magnoliopsida; Malpighiales; Euphorbiaceae.
AAAUGUUAAAAUUCUCUCAGUAUAUUAAGAACACCAAAACGCCAGCUAGAUGUAUCACCAACCUGCAUUCCUUCUGCACCGCUAAUGCCAACUCCAAUGUCCGCUUCUUGGAUCAUCCCAACAUCAUUUGCACCAUCACCAAUUGCUAAUGUGGUUUUCCCAGUUCCUUCCUUUACUAACCUAGUAACCAAGGCCUUCUGCUUAGGAGAGACACGGCAGCAAAUGACAGAUGCACAGCUGACUGCUAAAUUCAAAAAAU